This 22-nucleotide transfer RNA is filed under the name Nyctimantis brunoi (Bruno's casque-headed frog). Its description in RNAcentral is "Aparasphenodon brunoi (Bruno's casque-headed frog) partial tRNA-Gln". Lineage: Eukaryota; Metazoa; Chordata; Amphibia; Anura; Hylidae. The record is from RNAcentral.
UAGGGAGAUAGGAAUUGAACCU